CUACACAAACCGUUUCUUUGCCUGCCGCCAUCCACGUAGAAUGUGACUUGCUCCUCUUCGCCUUCUGCCAUGAUUCUGAGGCCUCCCAGCCACGUCGAACUACAGAAGAAGGAGAUGCCAGUGACAAGCAAAGUAACUCCCCCACGGCAUGGGAAGAGCCAGCAUCUGCUGCUGUCCAGGAAUACAGUCUCACUGCUGCAGUCAAGGAAGGCCAAAGAAGCCACCGGGGAAAACCAACCCAUCCCGGGGACACUGGAGGCUCACUCCUUCCUCGCUGCAUUCUGAGGCUGCUGCUUUGGAGUGAGAGAUUAUCCUCUGCUUCUCCUGAAAGAGAAGGUGAUAUGCCCAGGACCCUUCCUGAGUAAGAUGUGUUCCUCAGAGGUUAAAAAAGAAAAAAAAGCCCCAAACCCCUGAAACCAAGAAAUCAAGACAGCUCUGGUGGAGAAGCUUUUGGGAACUUGCUGGGGCAGGUGAGGUCUUUCAAAGCUUAAAUCAGUCAAGAGGUGAGACACUUUCUCUCUAGAAACUCGGGUCAUAGCCACCCCUCUGAGAUAUUCUUCCCUCUGCUGAUGUCAUGUGGUGUGGAAACCCUCUUCUCGUGGCUGAAAACAAUCCUAAAGAAAGUCAGCCUCAUCUGGGGAGGGGGUGCAGCGGGGGGAGAAUGGGGGAAUGUCCCUGGCCAGGAGGCCGGAGGUGCCCCAGGAAGCUGUUUCCUCUGAAUAGUUAAAUGGCUGCCUCUCAACUUGCACAAUGUCACAUUGAAUUUGAAACAGGGAACUUUUUAUAUUUUUUCCCUGAUUGUGCUGGCACCUGGCAGAUGCCUAUUUACCACAGGCAUCAAUACACAUAGUAAUCAAAGGAAAUCAGAGGCACAGAUUAGCAACAGCUGCAAGUCAUUAGUGACAGACACGGGAAAGCACAAUUCUGCACCCAACUUUGAAAUAACCAAUAUGAGUAUUUCAGAGCACGAGGGUUACCGCAGGGCACUCGCUAACAUGAGAGCAGCCAAACAAUAGCUGGGCUUGUCUCUCCAGAGAGCACUCUUCUCAAAGGCAGCACCACACACUCCGUAUUAUAAACCAAUCAAUCACAUGAUAUUGGUCCACUGAACGUUAGCCCUUUGCAGAGUCCAUGUGCUGAUCUGAUCUUCUGACCAAAGGUUGUUGAACUGAAAAAUAACCUCUGGCUGGUGGAAAACUUUGUUAUCGCCUGUCAUAAUUUUAGUGGUGGGAGUUUGAGUGUAUUUCUGAUGACUUAAUUAUAUGAUUGACCUAGUUGGAAAGGGGCAUAUAGAGGGGAAAACAAGACAUUCCCCUUUCGCAUUUAAUCUCAUUUUUCCCCAAAUUUCUAUUUGAAAAUCAGCUAUGAUUGAUAGCCGUUCUCUUGGUAGUUACAUAUUUUCAUUGGCAACACUAACCUUAGCCUACUCCAAAAAA
Molecule: long non-coding RNA, 1436 nt
Organism: Homo sapiens (human)
Lineage: Eukaryota; Metazoa; Chordata; Mammalia; Primates; Hominidae
Gene: MIR548A1HG
Product: MIR548A1 host gene
Source: Ensembl